UACGCGACUGGUGCAAUUGUACCACUCCCAAACGACCGAGGGUAUAUAAAUAAAAUAACUAGGCCUAUAUUAAUUUGAUCGGAAUGGAUCCGUCUCUUAUUACUAUCUAUGGAACUCUGUACUCACUAUAUGUCUAUGGAACAACGUAGGACAACAUAACCUACGUCAAAUAUUGUAGUAGUGUUCUAAAAUAUUUGCAUAUAUACAACGACAACAAAAAAAGAAACACAGUGGUGCUUGCUACAGUGUGUGAUUAUUUUAAAUUUAAUGGCAUUAUUGUUUUUGCGAAAAUAUCUACACGUCAGUGCAACGAAAUUGACACAGCCCGUCGUGUCACAUCCACAACUCACAGAUCCUCAGCAAAUCGAGAAACGUAAAAGGUUUUGGGAGUUGGAGAACGAACUUGAAUCGAAAGUUAAUUAUGAAAGCCUGAGCGAAGCGGAGAAAAAUAUUCACGCCCUUCAUAGAAUAGCUGUCCUUAGAGGUCACUUUACGUACGAUGACCCGGACACAGGAGAUCGAGUUCUGACACGCCUCAGGCACUUCUUGAAAGGAGCAUGUUGCGGCAGUGCUUGCAGACAUUGUAUUUAUGACCAUGUAAAAGUUCCGGAAGUGAAGAAAAAAGGUCGGAGAUUUAACUCUGCUUUCUGGUUGUACGACCAGGUUGAGGAGGAUAGUGAAGAAGACGAAAUGCUUAAAAGAAUGUACCGUCCACCACCAAGGAAGCAAGCUAAUUUGAGAAAAUCCUAGAAUGUGCACAACAUGUAGCAAAAUGGUAGAGUAUCUGUCCAUUUUGUUUUUGACUGUGAUAUACUGAGUAUUUGAGUAUGUUUUCUUUUUGAUGCAUAUGAACUAAAUGCUACUUUAGUUGCUUUUAACAUAUUAUACAAUAUUUAUAAAUACAUAUUCAGUUUUCUUGAAUUUUUCAACUAUUUUCUCCUGGAUUCCAUGAAAAAUAAUAAAAACUUAUAGAACAUUCAUCAGUGAAAUAAAAUAUAUUAAGGGUAAUAGUACCCACCAUUUAUAAUAUAUUAUUUUUAAAUUUUGGGCCACAUUUUAAAUUUUUUUUAGCAUGACAAGGCAAAAACAAGUUCUUCCCAAGCUUUUAUUCUUGUAACAAUUGAAUAUUUAGUUAACGGGUUGGUAUAAAUAACUGAUAAUUUCACACAUACUGACUGUAUUUUUUUCAAGUUAUAAUAUUGGUCUUUAUUAGGCGUACAGUAAAUUAAUCAAAUUUU
This is a long non-coding RNA of Bacillus rossius redtenbacheri, 1238 nucleotides long. RefSeq lists it as uncharacterized. Lineage: Eukaryota; Metazoa; Arthropoda; Insecta; Phasmatodea; Bacillidae. The record is from RefSeq and is a predicted model, not a curated record. The transcript is spliced from 2 exons.